This 712-nucleotide ribosomal RNA is filed under the name uncultured Clostridium sp. RNAcentral describes it as "bacterial SSU rRNA". It matches the Rfam family "Bacterial small subunit ribosomal RNA", at positions 28 to 768 of the family's 1533-position model. Lineage: Bacteria; Bacillati; Bacillota; Clostridia; Eubacteriales; Clostridiaceae. The record is from RNAcentral.
GAUGAACGCUGGCGGCGUGCCUAACACAUGCAAGUCGAGCGAUCUUCUUCGGAAGGGAGCGGCGGACGGGUGAGUAACGCGUGGGUAACCUGCCCUGUACACACGGAUAACAUACCGAAAGGUAUGCUAAUACGGGAUAACAUAAGAAAGUCGCAUGGCUUUCUUAUCAAAGCUUUUGCGGUACAGGAUGGACCCGCGUCUGAUUAGCUAGUUGGUAAGGUAACGGCUUACCAAGGCGACGAUUAGUAGCCGACCUGAGAGGGUGAUCGGCCACAUUGGAACUGAGACACGGUCCAAACUCCUACGGGAGGCAGCAGUGGGGAAUAUUGCACAAUGGGCGAAAGCCUGAUGCAGCAACGCCGCGUGAGCGAUGAAGGCCUUCGGGUCGUAAAGCUCUGUCCUCAAGGAAGAUAAUGACGGUACUUGAGGAGGAAGCCCCGGCUAACUACGUGCCAGCAGCCGCGGUAAUACGUAGGGGGCUAGCGUUAUCCGGAAUUACUGGGCGUAAAGGGUGCGUAGGCGGUCUUUCAAGUCAGAAGUGAAAGGCUACGGCUCAACCGUAGUAAGCUUUUGAAACUGUAAGACUUGAGUGCAGGAGAGGAGAGUGGAAUUCCUAGUGUAGCGGUGAAAUGCGUAGAUAUUAGGAGGAACACCAGUUGCGAAGGCGGCUCUCUGGACUGUAACUGACGCUGAGGCACGAAAGCGUGGGGAG